Molecule: ribosomal RNA, 239 nt
Filed under: uncultured bacterium
Lineage: Bacteria
Description: partial 16S ribosomal RNA
Rfam family: Bacterial small subunit ribosomal RNA
Source: RNAcentral
UACAGAGGGGCAAGCGUUGUUCGGAAUUACUGGGCGUAAAGGGCGCGUAGGCGGCCUUCUAAGUUCGAACGUGAAAUCCUCGGGCUCAACCCGGGAACUGCGUCCGAUACUGGAAGGCUUGAAUCCGGGAAGAGGGAUGCGGAAUUCCAGGUGGUAGCGGGUGAAAUGACGUAGAUAUCUGGAGGAACACCGGUGGCGAAGGCGGCAUCCUGGACCGGCAUUGACGCUGAGGCGCGGAA